GACAGAGGAUGCAAGCGUUAUCCGGAAUUAUUGGGCGUAAAGAGUACGUAGGCGGCUUAUCAAGUCAGGGGUUAAAUCCCGCAGCUUAACUGCGGUUCGGCCUUUGAAACUGAUCGGCUAGAGUAUGGUAGGGGUAGAGGGAAUUCCCGGUGUAGCGGUGAAAUGCGUAGAUAUCGGGAAGAACACCUGUGGCGAAAGAGCUCUACUGGCCCAUAACUGACGCUGAGGUAUGCAAGCUAGGGGAGCGAAUGGG
RNAcentral lists this ribosomal RNA (253 nucleotides) under uncultured bacterium. Its description in RNAcentral is "partial 16S ribosomal RNA". It matches the Rfam family "Bacterial small subunit ribosomal RNA", at positions 524 to 776 of the family's 1533-position model. The record is from RNAcentral.